RNAcentral lists this ribosomal RNA (2503 nucleotides) under Ctenocephalides felis (cat flea). RNAcentral describes it as "eukaryotic LSU rRNA". The stretch from base 1241 to 2503 matches the Rfam family "Eukaryotic large subunit ribosomal RNA", at positions 1891 to 3274 of the family's 3401-position model. The record is from RNAcentral. Lineage: Eukaryota; Metazoa; Arthropoda; Insecta; Siphonaptera; Pulicidae.
AAAUCAUUUACAAUAGCCGUAAGGAAUAUUCCACAUGUUAAAAAAUCCAUAGUAGACAAAAAUAUGAAAUUUAAAUGUAGUGACCAAGAGCUACCCGCAAUAUCUAAAACAACCGAAUGGAAGUAUUUAGGGAUCUCAUUUACACCCGAAGGUGCUAACCUGCGGGAUCUUAAACCAAAGCUGCAUUCAAUCAUCGAGAAACUUACUAAAGCACCUCUCAAGCCGCAACAAAGACUUUUUGCCUUAACAACGGUUGGAAUCCCGAAGUUGCUCCAUGAGUUAACAUUGGGGAAUACCACAUUGAGUCUGCUCAAGUCCCUCGACAACAUUGUGAGGAAGGCAGUAAGAACGUGGCUGAGGCUGCCCCAUGACUGUGUCUCUGCGUACUUCCACGCUAACUAUAAAGAUGGAGGUCUGUCCCUUCCGUCCUUGCGAUGGACUGUACCACUUAGAAGGAAAAUGAGACUGGCAAAGCUAGAAAUGUCAGAAAGCAACUUUCUCCAACUCGAGGUUGCUCAAUGUGAGAAAAGACUAAAUGACACAAACUCGACCAUAGCAUCAUUGAAACAAUUAGAUGAAAGGUGGGCCCGCUUACUCCAUUCUUCAGUAGACGGAAACCCACUAAGUAAGUCUAGAAAAGUUCCCCAACAAUAUCGAUGGGUCGUAGAGGUUAACAGACUCUUAACAGGCAAGGAUUUCAUCAAUUGCAUGAAAAUAAGAAUCAACGCCCUACCUACUAGAAGCAGAACAACGAGGGGAAGGAUUGAAGACAGGCUAUGUCGAGCUGGUUGCAACACUCCGGAAUCGCUCGAUCAUGUUUUACAGACCUGUCACCGUAGUCAUAAAUCUAGGAUUGAUAGACAUAACGCGGUCAUCAACUAUCUCAAAAGAGCGCUUGAGAAAAACUAUGCUCAAGUUUACGCCGAACCAACAUUUAAAACGGCCAAAGGUAACAGAAAACCAGACCUAAUAGCAAUUCAGGACAACCGGGCACUUCUCUUGGACGCUCAAGUUGUCGGGGGCUCCACCGAUUUGGGAGCAGCGCACAAUAGGAAAAUGAGAUAUUACCAGAUCUGGUUGAGAAAAUUAAAACGAGAUACAAUACGACUGACGUUAAGAUUAACACAAUAACAUUGAACAACAGGGGUGUCUGGAGCAAAGCAUUGGCUAACUUUUUAGUAGAAGAAAAAAUUCUCAAGAAAGACGAACUGAAAAUAAUAUCCGCCAGAGUCCUUAUUGGCGGGCUAAUGGGGUUUGGGAGGUGGACAAAGAGUACGAGUCAUCGUCGUAUAAGAGAAGGAAUCGGAUAGAUCCCAAGACUCAAGCCAGAUAUUAAGCGUGCUGCAUAGCGCUAACAUCCUUCAGGCACAAUACUAGAAGCUAGGUUUAGUGGGUAUUGCCUUCGGGUCGAGUCCCACACUACCUGGUCAACCUGGCGACCGGUGUGCGUAAAUGCAUUCCCCUCAAAAAAAAAAGCCAAAUGCCUCGUCUUGUAACUAGUGACGCGCAUGAACGAGAUUCCCACUGUCCCUAUCUACAUUCUAGCGAACUGCCAAGGGAACGGGAUUGGAAAAAUUAGCGGGGAAAGAAGACCCUGUUGAGCUUGACUCUAGUCUGGCAUUGUAAGGAGACAUGAAAGGUGUAGCAUAAGUGGGAGAUAGUAAUAUCGUCGGUGAAAUACCACUACUUUUAUCGUUUCUUUACUUACUCGAUUGGGCAGAAAGCGUGCGUCGAAAACUUGCGUUCCAACUGUCACGGUUUUCUAGAGCCAAGCGCAUAAGAGUGGUGUGAGGCAUUGCGCCGAUCGCCAACAAUACUCUAGCGUGAUCCGAUUCGAGGAAACUGCUAGGCGGGGAGUUCGACUGGGGCGGUACAUCUGUCAAACAAUAACGCAGGUGUCCUAAGGCCAGCUCAGCGAGGACAGAAACCUCGCGUAGAGCAAAAGGGCAAAUGCUGGCUUGAUCCCGUUGUUCAGUGUGCACAGGGACUGCGAAAGCAUGGCCUAUCGAUCUUUUUGGCUUGAAGAGUUUCAGGUGUCAGAAAAGUUACCACAGGGAUAACUGGCUUGUGGCAGCCAAGCGUUCAUAGCGACGUUGCUUUUUGAUCUUUCGAUGUCGGCUCUUCCUAUCAUUGCGAAGCAGAAUUCGCCAAGCGUUGGAUUGUUCACCCACAAAUAGGGAACGUGAGCUGGGUUUAGACCGUCGUGAGACAGGUUAGUUUUACCCUACUGAUGAAUCGUCGUUGCGAUAGUAAUCCUGCUCAGUACGAGAGGAACCCAGGUCCGGACAUUUGGUUCACGCACUUGGUCGAGCGGCCGGUGGUGCAAAGCUACCAUCCGCGGGAUUAUGCCUGAACGCCUCUAAGGCCGUAUCCUUUCUAGACAAAGUAAGCAACGAUAUCUCUAGAAGUCUCGUGAGUCAAAAGGCUCAAUACAAUGUGAUUUAUUAGGUAUUCGGCACACGCCGUUUAUCGCACGAGCCAUUUUUAGCCGAAUGAGGCGCUG